Non-coding RNA from Arabidopsis thaliana (thale cress), 510 nucleotides. RefSeq annotates it as other RNA. Lineage: Eukaryota; Viridiplantae; Streptophyta; Magnoliopsida; Brassicales; Brassicaceae. The record is from RefSeq. The transcript is spliced from 2 exons.
AAAAGGGUUUUAAUUAUGUAUUUAUAAAUGUAGAGAGGUACGUAUAAAAAUACCAGUUGAAGUAGUUCCAAGUUUUGGUGGUUUGAUUAGGAUCCGACUCGUCGAACUGAUCAGCACCAAAAGCAACAACACAUGGUCGGAUCCCACCCGACCCGAGAGCUCCAAGAAGAAGAGCUACGUAAAGUAUACUCAAUUGUGCUGUGUCAGCUACUACACAAACCUCUUCUCCUUUACAUGGUGGUGGCCUUAGCGUUGGUAUUAUUGCCGAUAUCAUGAUGGAAGCAAAAGUGAUGGUCCAAAAUCGGCCGGCGAAAGAGUCGGCGAUAAAGGCACCAAGGAGAGGAGUAAGACUCGAUGUCCCGGCGAAGUUUGUGAGAGUGUUGGCUGCUUUGGUUAAGGGAAGGUGAAGCUGUGUUGUUAAGUAACUUAUCAUGUUUGCGUGAAACCCCACCACCGCUAAUUUUUCACAUAUCUCGUUCGCUGAAUAUAUCAUUAGAGAUUAUAUAUCAA